RNAcentral lists this ribosomal RNA (251 nucleotides) under Pelomedusa galeata. Its description in RNAcentral is "partial 12S ribosomal RNA". The record is from RNAcentral. Lineage: Eukaryota; Metazoa; Chordata; Testudines; Pelomedusidae.
AUAUUCCACGAUCAACCUUACCACCCUUUGCCAUCAGCCUAUAUACCGCCGUCGCCAGCUUACCUUGUGAAAGCCAAAAAGUAAGCGAAAUAGCUCCUACAGCUAGAAAGUCAGGUCCAGGUGUAGCCAAUAAGGUGGGUGCAAUGGGCUACAUUUUCUAAAAUAGAAAUAUUCACGGACAGACCCUUGAAACAGGGACUAAUAAGUCGGAUUUAGCAGUAAUCUAGGAAUAGAAAACCUACAUUAAGCCG